This 79-nucleotide transfer RNA is filed under the name Cronartium ribicola 11-2. Its description in RNAcentral is "tRNA-Thr (TGT) (tRNA-Thr-TGT-13-1)". It matches the Rfam family "tRNA". From Rfam's summary of the family: Transfer RNA (tRNA) molecules are approximately 80 nucleotides in length. The record is from RNAcentral. Lineage: Eukaryota; Fungi; Basidiomycota; Pucciniomycetes; Pucciniales; Coleosporiaceae.
GACCAGAUAGCCUAGUGGUUAAAGGCAGCACAUCUAGCAUUGUGAGCUGAAGUCCCAGGCUCAACUCCUGGUCUGGUCA